AGAGUUUGAUCCUGGCUCAGAUUGAACUCUGGCGGCAGGCCUAACACAUGCAAGUCGAGCGGUAGAGAGAAGCUUGCUUCUCUUGAGAGCGGCGGACGGGUGAGUAAUGCCUAGGAAUCUGCCUGGUAGUGGGGGAUAACGUUCGGAAACGGACGCUAAUACCGCAUACGUCCUACGGGAGAAAGCAGGGGACCUUCGGGCCUUGCGCUAUCAGAUGAGCCUAGGUCGGAUUAGCUAGUUGGUGAGGUAAUGGCUCACCAAGGCGACGAUCCGUAACUGGUCUGAGAGGAUGAUCAGUCACACUGGAACUGAGACACGGUCCAGACUCCUACGGGAGGCAGCAGUGGGGAAUAUUGGACAAUGGGCGAAAGCCUGAUCCAGCCAUGCCGCGUGUGUGAAGAAGGUCUUCGGAUUGUAAAGCACUUUAAGUUGGGAGGAAGGGCAGUAAAUUAAUACUUUGCUGUUUUGACGUUACCGACAGAAUAAGCACCGGCUAACUCUGUGCCAGCAGCCGCGGUAAUACAGAGGGUGCAAGCGUUAAUCGGAAUUACUGGGCGUAAAGCGCGCGUAGGUGGUUUGUUAAGUUGGAUGUGAAAUCCCCGGGCUCAACCUGGGAACUGCAUUCAAAACUGACUGACUAGAGUAUGGUAGAGGGUGGUGGAAUUUCCUGUGUAGCGGUGAAAUGCGUAGAUAUAGGAAGGAACACCAGUGGCGAAGGCGACCACCUGGACUAAUACUGACACUGAGGUGCGAAAGCGUGGGGAGCAAACAGGAUUAGAUACCCUGGUAGUCCACGCCGUAAACGAUGUCAACUAGCCGUUGGAAGCCUUGAGCUUUUAGUGGCGCAGCUAACGCAUUAAGUUGACCGCCUGGGGAGUACGGCCGCAAGGUUAAAACUCAAAUGAAUUGACGGGGGCCCGCACAAGCGGUGGAGCAUGUGGUUUAAUUCGAAGCAACGCGAAGAACCUUACCAGGCCUUGACAUCCAAUGAACUUUCUAGAGAUAGAUUGGUGCCUUCGGGAACAUUGAGACAGGUGCUGCAUGGCUGUCGCCAGCUCGUGUCGUGAGAUGUUGGGUUAAGUCCCGUAACGAGCGCAACCCUUGUCCUUAGUUACCAGCACGUAAUGGUGGGCACUCUAAGGAGACUGCCGGUGACAAACCGGAGGAAGGUGGGGAUGGCGUCAAGUCAUCAUGGCCCUUACGACCUGGGCUACACACGUGCUACAAUGGUCGGUACAGAGGGUUGCCAAGCCGCGAGGUGGAGCUAAUCCCAUAAAACCGAUCGUAGUCCGGAUCGCAGUCUGCAACUCGACUGCGUGAAGUCGGAAUCGCUAGUAAUCGCGAAUCAGAAUGUCGCGGUGAAUACGUUCCCGGGCCUUGCACUAACCGCCCGUC
This 1395-nucleotide ribosomal RNA is filed under the name uncultured bacterium. Its description in RNAcentral is "bacterial SSU rRNA". It matches the Rfam family "Bacterial small subunit ribosomal RNA". The record is from RNAcentral.